RNAcentral lists this transfer RNA (70 nucleotides) under human gut metagenome. The stretch from base 5 to 63 matches the Rfam family "tRNA", at positions 8 to 63 of the family's 71-position model. From Rfam's summary of the family: Transfer RNA (tRNA) molecules are approximately 80 nucleotides in length. Their secondary structure includes four short double-helical elements and three loops (D, anti-codon, and T loops). Further hydrogen bonds mediate the characteristic L-shaped molecular structure. tRNAs have two regions of fundamental functional importance: the anti-codon, which is responsible for specific mRNA codon recognition, and the 3' end, to which the tRNAs corresponding amino acid is attached (by aminoacyl-tRNA synthetases). tRNAs cope with the degeneracy of the genetic code in two manners: having more than one tRNA (with a specific anti-codon) for a particular amino acid; and 'wobble' base-pairing, i.e. permitting non-standard base-pairing at the 3rd anti-codon position. The record is from RNAcentral.
CGAUUAGCUCAGUUGGUUAGAGCACCUGCCUUACAAGCAGGGGGUCGGCGGUUCGAGUCCGUUCUCGUCC